GGUCAGAUGGCCGAGUGGUUAUGGCGCUAGUUUCAGGUACUAGUGGGUUAUUCCGCGUGGGUUCGAGUCCCACUCUGGUACG
Molecule: transfer RNA, 82 nt
Filed under: Pseudocercospora fijiensis CIRAD86
Lineage: Eukaryota; Fungi; Ascomycota; Dothideomycetes; Mycosphaerellales; Mycosphaerellaceae
Description: tRNA-Leu (CAG) (tRNA-Leu-CAG-1-1)
Rfam family: tRNA
About the family: Transfer RNA (tRNA) molecules are approximately 80 nucleotides in length. Their secondary structure includes four short double-helical elements and three loops (D, anti-codon, and T loops). Further hydrogen bonds mediate the characteristic L-shaped molecular structure. tRNAs have two regions of fundamental functional importance: the anti-codon, which is responsible for specific mRNA codon recognition, and the 3' end, to which the tRNAs corresponding amino acid is attached (by aminoacyl-tRNA synthetases). tRNAs cope with the degeneracy of the genetic code in two manners: having more than one tRNA (with a specific anti-codon) for a particular amino acid; and 'wobble' base-pairing, i.e. permitting non-standard base-pairing at the 3rd anti-codon position.
Source: RNAcentral